CUGGCUCAGAUUGAACGCUGGCGGCAGGCUUAACACAUGCAAGUCGAGCGGGGAUAGGGUGCUUGCACCUGAUUCCUAGCGGCGGACGGGUGAGUAAUGCUUAGGAAUCUGCCUAUUAGUGGGGGACAACGUUCCGAAAGGGACGCUAAUACCGCAUACGUCCUACGGGAGAAAGCAGGGGAUCUUCGGACCUUGCGCUAAUAGAUGAGCCUAAGUCGGAUUAGCUAGUUGGUGGGGUAAAGGCCUACCAAGGCGACGAUCUGUAGCGGGUCUGAGAGGAUGAUCCGCCACACUGGGACUGAGACACGGCCCAGACUCCUACGGGAGGCAGCAGUGGGGAAUAUUGGACAAUGGGGGGAACCCUGAUCCAGCCAUGCCGCGUGUGUGAAGAAGGCCUUUUGGUUGUAAAGCACUUUAAGCGAGGAGGAGGCUUACCUGGUUAAUACCUGGGAUAAGUGGACGUUACUCGCAGAAUAAGCACCGGCUAACUCUGUGCCAGCCGCCGC
This 506-nucleotide ribosomal RNA is filed under the name uncultured bacterium. RNAcentral describes it as "bacterial SSU rRNA". It matches the Rfam family "Bacterial small subunit ribosomal RNA", at positions 19 to 518 of the family's 1533-position model. The record is from RNAcentral.